RNAcentral lists this long non-coding RNA (1645 nucleotides) under Triticum aestivum (bread wheat). RNAcentral describes it as "long non-coding RNA (TAES_LNC026463)". Lineage: Eukaryota; Viridiplantae; Streptophyta; Magnoliopsida; Poales; Poaceae. The record is from RNAcentral.
UUAGAUUGUGAGUCGAUCAACAGCUGUCUUAAUAUCAAAGAGCUCAUUCUAACACAAACGAACCCAUAAACCAUGGUCUUAAGCUACAAUCCCGAUAAACAAAAUCAUCACAGUGUUCGCAGAAUUCAAACAUCAACAGAGAGGACAGCACCCCACGCACGCAUUGGAUCUGAAGACCUGUUGGGUGCUCCCACUUGCUGAAGAGUCGCUUCUUCACUCCAUGGUAGCUCCAGAACCGAAAGUGCCGCCGCCGCCUCCACGGCCAAAGGGCCUGGCAGCACCACCAGCACCCUGGAGAAACAAUUACAGAUUGUACAAAAUUAGAUAACCAGAAGGAAGUAUAGAGUUUAUAUGUGCAAUUAAGGAAUGGUUUACAUAGUAGAGUCUAUAUGUGCAAUGAAGGAAUGUUUUACAUAGUACAGCACCAGAAUUGAAAACUGUUUUACAUAGAACAGAAACAGAGCUGAGAACUGCCAAGCUAUGAUCAAGCCUCAUAGGAAACCAGAGCUUAACACUACAAUCUAUGAUCAAGCUAAAAACCAAUACAGUAUCACAGUAGAAUAUUUCCAACAUAUAAUGAGAGAAUCAGAGUCCAGUUAUCAAAACUGGUUCGAAUGCUAGAAGCUAGAAACGUAAUCAUGUCAUGAAUGCACACCUAAGUUGAUGCCAACAAUCAUAUGAAAUUUAACAACGGUAAUUGCAGUCCUUACCCUGAAAGCUGGCUGGUACUCAGCAGGAGCUCCACCCUUCUCACCAGCAAAAUCACCUGGAGCACCACGUGGGCCUCCUCUGUAACCAUCCCUGUCACCAUACCUGGGCCUGUCACCCUCAAAACGAGGAGGACCCCUGCCAAAUUUAGCAAAACCAAUUAGUGAAUACAAAUACAUCAGUGUUCUUGAUAUAUGAAUGUAAGAGAAACAAACAAGCUGGACACCAUGGAAGAAUUGUGUUUCAUACUUUGCCAAAUGUAACUACUUAUGGCUUUAACUACACAACAUUAUAGGGAGGAUAAUUGUAGGUCAAAUUGUAGAAUAUACAUAUACAGAUAUAUAAAAAACACAAGCCUAAUUCCCCUGUGUUUCAACAACUGAAUAGCAUGGCCAUACAACAGAAAUGGAACAGAGAUUAUUAUUGAGCAUUGGUGUGGCAUGGCAAGGUUCAUCAACUAAUUUCAACUUUGCUAAACAAAUGGUGGAUCAGGACUAAAAUUUAUCCUCAUUCCAAGUCAACAGGCACCAAGAUUAGACAGACUAAUCAAAAUAUAGAGUAUAGCUAGAUGAUCAGUGUGGUUAUAUUCUCAACAGCAACAGGAACAACUAUGCCCAAAACAGAGAGGCAGAAUGAUGAACAUAGCUAGCUCACCUGGGGCGGUCACCCGGUGGGCCAGAGCCGAAGGGGCGGGACGGGGGCUUGGCGGACUUCUUGAGGGUGUUGGGCACGAUCUCAGACGGCAGGUUGAGGAAGGUGCGGAGGAACUCAAUGCCGUCGUUGGUCAGGUACCAGUAGUAGUGCUGCCACGAGAAGGUCUCCCUGACGUACUCCUUGGACUUGAAGCUCUGCAUGAGCUUGAUGACCUCGAGGUUCGAGGCAUCGACCUGGGGGUGCUUGGCCAGGUUGUAGUCCUUCUUGGCGUACAAGACUCCCU